CUCGUACUCUCUGUGUGGAGUGGUGGAUCACAGCGGAGAACUGCAUGGAGGACACUACACAGCCACAGUCAAGUCUAAGGACAGACGCUGGUACUACAUCAGUGACACAUAUGUGAAGGAGGUUGAAAUGCCAACCAAAAAGUCGUCCACUGCGUACCUGCUCAUCUACAGAGAUACAACACAUUCCCCAGCACCAGAGAGCAAAGAGACCCAUGAAAAAGGAGGGCAAAAGAAGAUACGUAAAGAGAGAGACUCACCUGCAUCAAGCAACAACGACGAGCCCAUGGACUGGGAGCCGACUGGACAGAACGAGAUAGAGGAGGAGCACAGUGGACAGGGACGGG
Boleophthalmus pectinirostris (great blue-spotted mudskipper) is the source of this 344-nucleotide long non-coding RNA. RefSeq lists it as uncharacterized. Lineage: Eukaryota; Metazoa; Chordata; Actinopteri; Gobiiformes; Gobiidae. The record is from RefSeq and is a predicted model, not a curated record. The transcript has 4 exons.